This 424-nucleotide ribosomal RNA is filed under the name uncultured eukaryote. RNAcentral describes it as "bacterial SSU rRNA". It matches the Rfam family "Eukaryotic small subunit ribosomal RNA", at positions 592 to 1018 of the family's 1831-position model. The record is from RNAcentral.
CAAUAGCGUAUAUUAAAGUUGUUGCGGUUAAAAAGCUCGUAGUUGGAUUCCUGUAUGGAAGGGGCGUCCCCACCCUUUGGAUGGGGGUUGGCUGCCUUCUUUGCAUCUUCCGGAGUAGAUGUUCCUCACUUCACUGUGAGGACAUUAUGCUCGGGUCAUUUACUUUGAGGAAAUUAGAGUGUUUCAAGCAGGCAUACGCCUUGAAUACAUUAGCAUGGAAUAAUAAGAUAGGACCUCGGUUCUAUUUUGUUGGUUUCUAGAGCUGAGGUAAUGAUUAAUAGGGAUAGUUGGGGGCAUCCAUAUUUAACUGUCAGAGGUGAAAUUCUUGGAUUUGUUAAAGAUGAACUACUGCGAAAGCAUUUGCCAAGGAUGUUUUCAUUGAUCAAGAACGAAAGUUAGGGGAUCGAAGACGAUCAGAUACCAU